RNAcentral lists this non-coding RNA (23 nucleotides) under Rattus norvegicus (Norway rat). The record is from RNAcentral. Lineage: Eukaryota; Metazoa; Chordata; Mammalia; Rodentia; Muridae.
UCUUACCCUGUUCUUGAUGCUCC